This 454-nucleotide ribosomal RNA is filed under the name bacterium FCS003. RNAcentral's name for it is "bacterial SSU rRNA". It matches the Rfam family "Bacterial small subunit ribosomal RNA", at positions 28 to 462 of the family's 1533-position model. The record is from RNAcentral.
GAUGAACGCUGGCGGCGUGCCUAACACAUGCAAGUUGAACGGAAACUAGGCGCUUCGGAGACUUCGGUCAAUGUUUGUUUAGUUUUAGUGGCGGACGGGUGAGUAACGCGUGGAUAACCUGCCUCAUACAGGGGGAUAACAGUUAGAAAUGACUGCUAAUACCGCAUAAGCGCACGGGAUCGCAUGAUCCAGUGUGAAAAACUCCGGUGGUAUGAGAUGGAUCCGCGUCUGAUUAGCUAGUUGGCGGGGUAACAGCCCACCAAGGCGACGAUCAGUAGCCGGCCUGAGAGGGUGAACGGCCACAUUGGGACUGAGACACGGCCCAAACUCCUACGGGAGGCAGCAGUGGGGGAUAUUGCACAAUGGGGGAAACCCUGAUGCAGCGACGCCGCGUGAGUGAAGAAGUAUUUCGGUAUGUAAAGCUCUAUCAGCAGGGAAGAUAAUGACGUACCGA